UUGCGGCCACAUCAGAUGAAGACAUCGGUUCCCGUACGAUCACCAAAGUUAAGCAAUGUCGAGCCUGGUCAGUACCUAGAUGGGCAACUGCUUCGGAUACCAGGUGCUGUAAG
Non-coding RNA from Acanthosepion pharaonis, 113 nucleotides. NCBI's taxonomy places the organism in Eukaryota, Metazoa, Mollusca, Cephalopoda, Sepiida, Sepiidae. The record is from the annotation of a GenBank genome assembly.